AUUGAACGCUGGCGGCAUGCUUUACACAUGCAAGUCGAACGGCAGCGACAGGGAGCUUGCUCCCGGGUGGCGAGUGGCGCACGGGUGAGUAAUACAUCGGAACGUGUCCUGUUGUGGGGGAUAACUGCUCGAAAGGGUGGCUAAUACCGCAUGAGACCUGAGGGUGAAAGCAGGGGAUCGCAAGACCUUGUGCUACUAGAGCGGCCGAUGGCAGAUUAGGUAGUUGGUGGGAUAAAAGCUUACCAAGCCAACGAUCUGUAGCUGGUCUGAGAGGACGAUCAGCCACACUGGGACUGAGACACGGCCCAG
Molecule: ribosomal RNA, 309 nt
Filed under: uncultured bacterium
Lineage: Bacteria
Description: bacterial SSU rRNA
Rfam family: Bacterial small subunit ribosomal RNA
Source: RNAcentral